UUCUGUAAGCCUGCGAAGGUGGCCUGUGAGGGUUGCUGGAGGUAUCAGAAGUGCGAAUGCUGACAUAAGUAACGAUAAUGCGGGUGAAAAGCCCGCACGCCGGAAGACCAAGGGUUCCUGUCCAACGUUAAUCGGGGCAGGGUGAGUCGACCCCUAAGGCGAGGCCGAAAGGCGUAGUCGAUGGGAAACAGGUUAAUAUUCCUGUACUUGGUGUUACUGCGAAGGGGGGACGGAGAAGGCUAUGUUAGCCGGGCGACGGUUGUCCCGGUUUAAGCAUGUAGGCGGAGGUUCCAGGUAAAUCCGGUAC
Molecule: ribosomal RNA, 307 nt
Filed under: Klebsiella aerogenes
Lineage: Bacteria; Pseudomonadati; Pseudomonadota; Gammaproteobacteria; Enterobacterales; Enterobacteriaceae
Description: partial 23S ribosomal RNA
Rfam family: Bacterial large subunit ribosomal RNA
Source: RNAcentral